AUGGGUAGGGGAGCUUCCCAUACGGGUUGAAGCAUGACCGUAAGGACAUGUGGACAGUAUGGGAGUGAGGAUGUUGGCAUGANUAGCGANAUGUGGGUGAGAAUCCCACAGGCCGUAAACCCAAGGUGUCCAGGGGAAGGUUCGUCCGCCCUGGGUUAGUCGGGACCUAAGCUGAGGCCGAAAGGCGUAGGUGAUGGACAACAGGUUGAUAUUCCUGUACUACCGAUAACCGUUUGAGAGA
This 241-nucleotide ribosomal RNA is filed under the name Clostridioides difficile. RNAcentral describes it as "partial 23S ribosomal RNA". It matches the Rfam family "Bacterial large subunit ribosomal RNA", at positions 1224 to 1465 of the family's 2925-position model. Lineage: Bacteria; Bacillati; Bacillota; Clostridia; Peptostreptococcales; Peptostreptococcaceae. The record is from RNAcentral.